RNAcentral lists this non-coding RNA (31 nucleotides) under Mus musculus (house mouse). RNAcentral also lists the same sequence under 1 other name. The record is from RNAcentral. Lineage: Eukaryota; Metazoa; Chordata; Mammalia; Rodentia; Muridae.
UGGAAUUCAUAUAAACUCUCUGAGCCCCAGU